GCGGCACGGAGCGGCGGAGCUGGCGCGGCGCCCGGCCCGAUAGCGCCGCCUCCGGCGGGGCGGGGAAACGACCCCGCGUGCCGCCGCCUCGGCCCCUCCGUCCGCAUGACGGGAACGGCGGCCCCGGGUUGGCUGCCCGCCGGGGGCCGCCCCGCCCCGCGGGGAAUGGCGGUUGCCACUACGAGGCGCUGCGCGGGUGGGGCUGCAGCGGCGGUUCGUCCCGCGUCGGCUUCUACAGCCGGCAUAUUGGAAACGGUUCUUGAGAAGGAGCGGUGAGCACAGUAGUGUGGCCCGUGAGGUGCUACUCUCAGUGCUGAAUUUAUUUCAGGGGGCUGCAGAUGUUUCUUACUAUUCACCGAUUUUGAUUUACUCCCCCAAAUAUUACUAGAACGAGAUGGCACGCAAACAUACGGCACUCUUCCAGACGUCUCAUUCUGCUUGACUCAAAAAGGACCAACUCUCAGUUUAAAAAAAGAAAAAAGAACUAAACGUGUGACUAUCAGUCUGGAACCAAUUAAAACAACAGCUAAUGAAGAGAAGUUUCAUGCUGACUUUUCAUGAUGGUAAGACAAGAAGACAGUGACAGGAAGAUUAGAACCUAAUCUCUGGUACUCAUACUGGUAUCUUACUAUGUCUGAUCGCACAGGGCACAGAACAAGCAGAUGCUGUGCAAGAUUUGGUUGCUAUUAGCAGUCAUAGCACUGUACUUUGUUGUUCUGAGAAGUAAGAGAAGUAAGAGCGAAAGUGAAACUUGCCUGCAGCUGGAGGGUAUGGCGGAGGAUGGUGUCCUCUAAAGCGUGAAUCCACUUCUCUCUCUCAUCAGCAUCUCGAGCUGAAAAGUAGUCCAAAGAUAUUGCUAAGUUACAUGGAGUCUCACGCACUAAAAGCCGUAAGCAAACAGAUCUGAUGUUCUCACUAAAUAUGGAAGCGAAACUAUAAUAUUUAUCUUAAGUUAUCAAGGACAUAAUUCCACAGUUUUCUUAAUAUCCUGUUUAUUUUUCCAUGGUUACAGCUCCAUAACAUUACUGUGCUCAUCUGCCUUACGGGAGAGAUGUUUCAAGUCAUCAUGCAGGCAAAAAAAUCUCUGCUUUGUAGAAAUUUUCCUCUCCAUACUAUUGAUAUUCUCAGUCCCUGCUCAAGUUAAGAAUUUAUUAUUCCUUCACUUAUGAAUUUAAGUUUCUUUACAACUGAUUAUUUUAAUUCAUGCCACUUUUGCUAGUAAUCCUUUAAUAGUAAUAAAAACUGAGGCUGAUUUAGAUGCAACAACAUUCAGGUAUGGAGAUGUUUGGCAGCAUCACAGUGCACUUCAGUGAGGCUCUGCAUGCACAAGACUCUUCUAAGCAUAACUUCUGUCAGGGUUGUAGUUCUCUUUACAAAUAUUUGGUUUGGGUUUCUCAACCACAAAAAAACCAUCAGAAAGAUACACUUCUAAAGAAUGACUUAACACCAUGGCAGCAAAGGGGACAGAACGGCCGCGUUACUGCAUCACUGCCACCACGAGUGUACUUCAGUUUCAUCAUUACUUACAAUGGAGAAAGCAUGACUUGUUAUAUAAACAAACCUAUUUUAAUCUGAGCCCGUUUUAAAUAGGUGAGUGCUUUUCUGCUCAACAGAUAUAUAUAUAUAUAUAUAUAUAUAUAUAGAAAGACAGAAUAAUUUAAAUAUAAUAAUAUUACGUAAGAGUGAUUCUGCUUUAUUUCUAUUUCAGGGAUUAUUUGUCCCUUGUCCAUCUUUAGGGAUAUACAGGGGAAGAAAGUCUGCACACACACAUCCUCAAUUAAUUAGAUAAUUUUACAUUUUGUUAGUUACAAGCAACCUGUACUAAGUUAUCCACUAAAAUUCUGUUUCAGUGUGAAUUUAGUAACUUUGAGCCUUGAAGAACAAGGAAUAACCUGAAGUGUAUCUAUACAGACAUGUAUAAAUCCUGAUGUGACAUCUUCACUGCGCUGGUCUCAAAGAGCUCCUUGCUGUGCUGGACGAGUGUUUAAAAACUUGAGGAGCAGAGUAAGGAGACACGAGGUGCAUUACAAAUAACAACAGAGGCCUUAUGUAGACAGUACAUAAACUGACCCCCAUACAGAUUUAGAAUAGUUACUGACAAUUGUUUCUCAUUCCUCAUUCAAGUGGAAGGUGCUUACAAGAAACAGGAAGUCUGCUAAAAGCAAGGAAAGCUGAAGUGAGCUGGCACCUAUUAUACACCUGAGAACUAAGAUUCCUAUCUGCCUUACUUAUUAUGAAGGUUAGAAAAAAUAUCUCAAAGUUAUACUGAAAUAUACUCUCCAGUCUCAAAAUGCUGUUUUCAGUCUCCCCAUUCUCAUCCUUCUGCUUCUAUUGCUUUCAUUCUUCAGAAUUCUGCAGCCCGAACCCACCCAUGCUCAAUACCGCCACAGGUCUUCCAAAUAGCUAAAAUAAAAAUUCCUUUGAAUAAAAUAUUUAUUACUUUCUCACAAAUCCAUUCCCUUAAGGCACAUUUCAUUGGCCAGUGGAAGGGGAGAGGGAAGGAAAGUGAGAAAGCCACAGAAGAAUCAUCUCCUGCCCUUGGCAGGGGCUAGCUGCAGGCUUUUUACCUAAGCACACGUGCACACAAACAUCCUGUUCUUUUCCCAGCAUAGCUGACACUUCAGCACUCAUUUCAAGAUCAGGUACAUUUUCCUCCCAUGUUAAUUUGAAUUGUUAUUUACUUCUUUGGCUUUCCUUAGCAAGAGCCAAGAGCUAAGGUCUCCUUAGCAAGACCCCUUUGCCUGCUUUUUGCCAACUUUUCAGAUGCACGUUCUGUGUGGCAGUGGUUGACAUGUUUCAGUGUAUGUAAGGAUUCUCAGGCUUGCUUUUUUCAUUGUUAUUUGUGUUUUUUACAUAACUGUCUCCUGGUCCUAAAGAACACCUUAUUAGACAACUGUGGCACAAGUCAUUGGACCAGACUGGUAUGUAAUUGACAAAUUACGUGAUACAACAAUCCUGUGUUCAAGCUUUUUUGCCUGAGACUGUUUUAACUGAAAAAGGAACAAUUAAGCUGCGGACCAGUGAAUUAAUCUUUGUGUUGCAGCAGACUUCCUAUGACCUUCCAGACUGCCAGCAAAAGGAGGUCACUGUAUUAAACACUAAUCUCUAUACACAGUGGCCCGUUAAUAAAGGUUAUCACAUUUAGACUUGUGUAUCGAGUGCUGUACUCACAGAACAGAGAAGGCUUAUAGCAACAGGGAAGAUCUAAAAACCAACUACUCAGUCCAGCUCAAAAACUGAACUCUUUCCCAUGCUCAUAAACAAACAGAACUUUCAGAGGUUCUAUUCCUUGAAUCGCCCAUCUUACAGCUGUUUUUGCCACGGUUCAGCAGAAAGAAAAAAAAGAAGCUAUACUUUUUUUCUCAUAUACGAGAAAUGACAAUGCUGUAGCAUUGCGUGAUCAAUCUGUAGGUAAGAAGCACAAAUCUCAUCAGCCUUGCUACUAAGACAACGUCUGUCGUAAAAACGCAGAAAUAUCACCACGAGAAGACAGCUUACAGCACAUAAACACACAGUACUGUAACCUUGUCAGCAUUCUCUGAUCAGGACCCAACUUUCAGACCAUUUCUCCCCAUUAAGGGAUCCUUUCAGCUCUCCUCUAUACACUCUUUAAAAAAAAAAAUCAUGGAGAAACAGCAGGUUACAGAUUUUAGUAAAGCAGGCUGCAAGAGAAGUUACAUUAAAUCUAACCAAAAUGGCUGCUGUGAGAUUAGGUGCAAGUAAAAGCUCCCUAAUGGUAAAAGCAAUUUAGAACUGAACAGCUGCCAAAAGAUCACUGAUGAAAAAAAAAUCAAUGGGAACAUUCAAAAAAGAGAUUAGCUAACAUACUUAGAAACAAUUUAUGGGAAAAACCUGCACACAAUGGUCAGAGAUCUGAUAUCCAUCUAUCUGUAGGAAAAGCUGGCUAUCCGUUGCAUUUUACCCUUAAAAAGGGUUACUUUGGAAAAAAAUAGAAAUAAAAAUACUCCAAUACCUUUUCAGCUAAAAAGACUGUGAUGCACACCGUGUAGUACUUGCUCUGCACCAGCUGGUGGAUUUCUUCAGCUGAUGGGAGACUCACCCUGCUCCUUAGUCCCCAUCCCAUAGUGUCCCUGUCACAAGCACCCUGAAGUCAGCCUGACCUUUGUCAUGCUUUGCCCAGGCUCCAUUUCAAAGUUAGUACCACUCCCCUCUGCUCCAGUUCUUAUGGGAAAUCCUACUCCAGAAUUUCUUCCUGCCAACAUAUUUGGGAUAAGGCCAUUAGUAUCAGGACCAGGGAAUGUCACCAGUAUCUAUGCAUUUCUAAAUGUGGAAGAACAGUGUCUGGUCCCUCUUCACAACAGCUGUGACAAAGAGAUGGAGGGUAGGGAACAAGGGAGAGACAUGAGUUACUUUCCCUAAGCCAAUUCUAGCUAGACUGACAGUUACAAAACCGAACAAGGAACACAAUAUCUAAAUGAGAACUCUUUGGCAUUUAAAAGCCAUAGAGGUGUUCAGCUGCUGACAGGUGAUUGAAAUGCUUUUACACUAAUUGGAAAGAGCAGUGAAAUAAAGGAGCCCACAUCACUAUAUGAGUAUUUGCUGUGGCCUUAGCCCAGUGGGUUAAUGCAGUAGCUACCUUGUCAGCCAAAUGUAAAUGUAUUGGGCAUCAGCUACCCACCAAAAUAUCCAUACUAUCUGCAGUUGAGAGAACAAAACCAGUCCCUGUGUUCUUCUCUAUUGUAAAUGCAAGCAUCGUUACCUCAGUUCUUACUGUAAUUUGCCAGUGAACAUCUGCAAAUGGAAGCAGCUAAAUCCACAGAGCUAUACAUUCGGUGCUGUAUGCAAGAGGCAGGGAUCACUGAAGGCUGAAACACUGCAAAUUUACUAUGAUUGUGCCAGUAAAGCUCCUGUUACAUUUUUCUAUUAGAACUAGAAUUUAGAAGAGAAAUUACAAUGUGUUCCCUUAUGCUUAACCUUUUAAUCCUUUCAGUCUGCAGCACAUCCUUCGAAAGUUACCUGCAUAAUUCAUUGCGACAUCUCAGGCAUGUCACAGACAGCCACUGGGUCCUUAAAGCAAUCACAGCCCUAUUUACGACCUGUAAGAGAAGCGCACUUAACCAGUAUGCAGGCACACUGCAGUGAGAUUUAGGAUGAUAAUAAUAUUUGUACAAACUGCAUUUCUUGUGAUUCCACUUAGGAGCACUAAAGAUGAGAAUUAUGGCUUCUGCUGAGGGCCUUCUAUUAUUCGGGAAAAGGAUGCUUUGCAAGGCCCAAAAUAAGCUCUCAUACCUCUGAAUCUCCCAAACUGCCAGGCAGGAUAUGACAGGGAUUUAAAAAAUAUAUCUAUACUACGAGGAAAAGGUGGCACAUGAACUGCUCUCAGCCUUUAUUAUAAUUUCCUAAAUACAGAAUAGAUGUUGUAAUUUAGAGUUCCUGUAUUUGCCGUGAAGAUGUUGUAUGUGUUUAUACUUUAACCAAAUGUUAAAGUACAAAGUAAUGCAUUACUUUUCCUGGCCUAAGCUUGAUAGCGUCUAAAGAUUAGAUAUAAGCAAGUUAGAGAACUCUCCACAAUACGCUUCCCAGCAGCAUUUCUAGGUCAUGCACAGCAGUACUUGGAACACUGAAACUACAAAACACCAUCUCAGAAUUAGCAAGCUGGUGCCUUUUUUUCCCCCGUGUGUGUCUACACAGGCAUCAGGAUGAAAGAAAAGCCUCAAGAUUUAGUUAUAAAAACACAAGGUUACUUAUAAAUACACCGUGCUGUCUCAGUGAAAUGCAUACUUGAUUUUCAUUCACUGUGACCUACUUACGGGCAGAACUCAGUGAAAAAAAAGUCUAUUACACCCACAGAGUCAAUAGAGUCAAUUAUGCAGUCUUUAUCCAGACAAAACUUAGUGGCACUGAUUUGGACACAAAAAUCCCAUAUUUUCUCUCCCAAGGUCAGAAGUAAUGCAGUAGCCUUACACAGAAACAUCCAGAUGACAGACGUGAGAUUCUUCCUAUACUGAGAUCAAUAGGAUUUUUACCACCAAUCUCAAUAGAGAGAUUUUAUCAGCAGUGCCCAAUAACGCAGAAAAGUCACACUUUGUAGCCAAUGCCAGAGGGCUGUUCUGUGGUUAAUGAAGCGGCCUUUUAAAGUCACUGAGGGCCUUUCAAACCACAGAAAGACACGAGAUGAAGCAGCGUUCCAUACAAACAUACCAAAAUACCAUCAUUUCAUUGCUUAUGUGUAUCCUUCUAACACACACAGUGCCCACAUCUAUCAGUAGGUUGAACACCAUCUCAGUGCCUUAUCCCCUCUGUAUAAUUCUGGAGCUGUCCCAGUCAUUCUUUCCCCUUCUCCUAAUGCUCCUCAUGCCAUUCUCCAUCCAUUCAUGGGAGCCAACCCUCCUUUUGUUCUCCCUCCACCCACUGAAGACUCCGGUGCAGUUACUAUAGAUAAAUAAAGUCUAAUCUUGUCCAAAGAAAAAGCACCAAAUGGUCUCCUGUGCGCAAUGCAUUAAGAAGCUUUAUAUGUGAUCUUAAGAAAUCAGUUAAAGUGCUGCUUCACUGUUACCUCAUUACAACUUCCCCAUUGCUUCACUGUCAUUUGGAAUCAAAUUUACGGGUUGCUUUUUGAGGGAGCUCUGUAAUCAGUGCAUAAACACAGCCUCGGGCGGAAACUUCUGUGACAAAGGCAAUCUAUGGUCAGGAAGCUAUUGGUUCUCUCUGGGAAUUCACAAACAAUCUGUAAUGUACUAAUCAAGCACUUUUCAAUGUGAGACAAUCUGCAAGUACUAUGUUUUCAUCAGGAAGUGUCAAUUCCAAGUGUCAAACCUGGAAUUUCUUGUUAAAACAGAAGAAAAUGUUGAACCUCUCACUCUGUCUCUGUCCUCACAACGAGACCUUUCCUGGCUUUUUCUCCCCCUUUCCUCGCACUCACAAAGCUCCUUUUCAGAAUAGCUGCUAUGUAUCAUACCUUGAAUUCACGUAAUAGAUUCCGACUGGUUCCAAAAGUAAAAAAACAAUAAAUACAAUAAAUAAAUAAUACAACGUGCCACAUA
Gallus gallus (chicken) is the source of this 7004-nucleotide long non-coding RNA. RefSeq lists it as uncharacterized. The record is from RefSeq and is a predicted model, not a curated record. The transcript has 2 exons. NCBI's taxonomy places the organism in Eukaryota, Metazoa, Chordata, Aves, Galliformes, Phasianidae.